GACCUCAAAUCAGGUAGGAAUACCCGCUGAACUUAAGCAUAUCAAUAAGCGGAGGAAAAGAAACCAACAGGGAUUGCCUCAGUAGCGGCGAGUGAAGCGGCAAGAGCUCAGAUUUGAAAUCGUGCUUUGCGGCACGAGUUGUAGAUUGCAGGUUGGAGUCUGUGUGGAAGGCGGUGUCCAAGUCCCUUGGAACAGGGCGCCCAGGAGGGUGAGAGCCCCGUGGGAUGCCGGCGGAAGCAGUGAGGCCCUUCUGACGAGUCGAGUUGUUUGGGAAUGCAGCUCCAAGCGGGUGGUAAAUUCCAUCUAAGGCUAAAUACUGGCGAGAGACCGAUAGCGAACAAGUACUGUGAAGGAAAGAUGAAAAGCACUUUGAAAAGAGAGUGAAACAGCACGUGAAAUUGUUGAAAGGGAAGGGUAUUGCGCCCGACAUGGGGAUUGCGCACCGCUGCCUCUCGUGGGCGGCGCUCUGGGCUUUCCCUGGGCCAGCACCGGUUCUUGCUGCAGGAGAAGGGGUUCUGGAACGUGGCUCU
Molecule: ribosomal RNA, 530 nt
Filed under: uncultured Saccharomycetales
Lineage: Eukaryota; Fungi; Ascomycota; Saccharomycetes
Description: eukaryotic LSU rRNA
Rfam family: Eukaryotic large subunit ribosomal RNA
Source: RNAcentral